AUGAACUGGACCUGGAAAAUUCUCUUUCUGGUGGCAGUGGCUGCAAGUGUGAACUCCCAGGUGCAGCUGGUACAGUCAGGGGCUGAGGUUGGAAAACUUGGGACAUCAGUGAAGAUCUCCUGCAAGGCGUCCGGAUACACCUUCACAAACUACGUGAUGCACUGGUUGCGGCAGGCCCUGGGACAAGGAUUUGAGUGGAUGGGAUGGAUACGCCUUAGGGAUGGUGGUACAAACUAUGCACAGAAGUUCCAGGGCAGACUCACACUAACUGCAGACAAAUCCAAGGAAACAGCCUACAUGGAACUGAGCAGGCUGAGCAGUGAGGACACAUCCUUGUAUUACUGUGUGAGAGACACAAUGUGA
Non-coding RNA from Sorex fumeus (smoky shrew), 363 nucleotides. Lineage: Eukaryota; Metazoa; Chordata; Mammalia; Eulipotyphla; Soricidae. The record is from the annotation of a RefSeq genome assembly.